UAAAAUGUCAUAAAUUAGGAAGUAAAGACUUAUCCGAAACCUAAAGAAUUUGGCGGUGCUCUAAAUAAUUGGAGGAACCUGUUUUUUAAUUGACAAUCCACAACUAAUCUUACCCUGCUUUUGUUUGUAUAUCGUCGUUUAUAGGCAAUAUUUAAAAAUAAUAGUCAAGAUAAAUCUUAGUUAGAAAAUCAGAUCAAGGUGCAGCAUAUUAGGGGUUAAAUGGGUUACAAUAUUUUUAAAGUAACACGAAUAAUUUGUAGAAAUUUAAUUUGAAGGAGGAUUCAAAAGUAAGCUGGAAAUAACAUGUCUAUCUGAAUAAAAAUUUAGAGUAUGC
Molecule: ribosomal RNA, 334 nt
Filed under: Heteronebo jamaicae
Lineage: Eukaryota; Metazoa; Arthropoda; Arachnida; Scorpiones; Diplocentridae
Description: partial 12S ribosomal RNA
Source: RNAcentral